Daphnia magna is the source of this 3869-nucleotide RNA transcript. It is a transcript of the gene named tRNA (guanine(10)-N2)-methyltransferase homolog, with no coding region annotated. The transcript is spliced from 11 exons. NCBI's taxonomy places the organism in Eukaryota, Metazoa, Arthropoda, Branchiopoda, Diplostraca, Daphniidae. The record is from RefSeq and is a predicted model, not a curated record.
ACUUCAGCUGUUGUUUCCGUGACAUUGGUGAGUAGCAGACGAUCAUUAUUUGAAUAAAAAUAGUCAGUCAGACAAAUGGCAGCGCGACACACGUGGAAAUCUUAUUUACUUUGGUGUGCAAAUGAACAUGUGUCCUUCAGAAUUCCUGAAGUUGAAGCUAUUUUAGCAAUGUACAAAAUUCCACAUACAUGGAUAGAAAAACCAGCAGAAAAUCCUUGGAUGCUCAUUUCCAUGCCCAGUGAGGAUUGUGCAAUAAAGCUUAUGAAGAGAUCUGUCACAGUUCGGUCCAUAAUCGAGUUGUGGGCAAGAUCAACCACAAAAGAACACCUUGAUGACCAACUAAAAAUCCUACCUACUGAAUUUACAUUUUAUUUCAAAAAGGAAAACACAUUCAAAGUUGUGGUGGAUACAUUUAAUAAAGUAACAAGCCAAGAGGAUAAAAUAAAAAAAAUUGAGUCUUUUAGUUUUCUGCCUAUUCUUGGAACUGCCAAUUUGAAAAACCCAAGUGUGACCUAUCAUUAUUAUGAAUUUUUUGGACUUGAUGCAGGACGUAUUCCGGAGAAUCCGUAUGAUUACUUUUUUGGCAGAUGGGUUUCGAAUAGCGAAAGAUCGGCCGUAGAAAAAUAUUCCCUUAAGACUAGACACUUCAUUGGCAACACUAGCAUGGAUCCUAAAUUAUCGAUGAUUAUGGCUAACCUUGCCCAGAUUGACGAUGGCCAUGUAGUUGUUGACCCUUUUGUUGGGACAGGAUCUCUUCUAGUAGCCGCAGCUCAUUUCGGUGGUUAUGUUUGCGGCACGGAUAUAGAUUAUCUCACACUUCACGGGAAGAUGAAACCUAGUAGAGCUCAUCAAAAAAAACGUCAACCAGAUGAGGAUAUCAAGGGGAACCUCAAGACUUACAAUCUCUUCUCGCGCUAUUUAGACGUGUUUGUGGGUGACGCAUCCAGACCCGUUUGGAGACCGGAAUUUCGUUUCGAUUCCAUAAUAACCGAUCCACCCUACGGAAUUCGCGAAUCGACAGAAAAAGUGGGCAGCAAGAAAAUAGCUCCUGUUCCGGAAGAACUAGCUUCACCACAUUUCCCUUCAAAAACCCAAUAUGGUUUAGGCGAUAUGUACAAAGAUCUUCUCAAUUUUGCUGCCAACAACCUCAAAGUAAAUGGAAGAGUGGUAUUUUGGAUUCCGAUUAUAAGAAUGGAAUACGAUCCUGACCUGUUACCAGAACAUCCCUGUCUUGAAACGGUAGCCAAUAGCGAGCAAAUCCUUAAUUUGCAUUCCAGCCGGCGGUUAAUCACUAUGCAAAAAACGAUGGAACCCAAAGAAGCAGCAGAUUCGGCAAUAAUCCAUGAUCUGCAGUACACUUUCCGCCACAAGUUCUUUAACACCGGUGAAAUUAAAGGGCGUGCGAGAGAAGAUGUGCAAGCCGAAUAUCUCACUAAAAGAAGUAAACGUGGAAAUGGAGUAGCAAAAUUGCCAUGUAAUGAGUAAAUCAACGAAUUUUUAAUACGGCGCGCAAUACACGUUUGAAGAAUAGACGGGAAGAACACGUGAUGCACUAAUAAAAACAAGGCCGGCUUGGUAAGACCUGUAGCAUUCAACGCGUCAGCCACAUGAAUGAUUUAUGCAAUGUAAGCUUUUACUCUUAUUAUAUUUCAACCUUAUGAAGUUCAAACGAUAAAUGUGUCAAAUUACUAAAUAACUUGUGGAUUAAUUACGGUUUAGACGCAUCACAGGAAUCCAAAGGAAAAAUAUUGCGGAUCUGGCGCUUUUUCCCUAUAAACAGCAUGGUCCAGACGCAGGUGCGCCAAUACUCUCGGUACGUUUUGAUUAUAUUCUCACUGUUACACUGUUAUAGCUAUGAAAGUUAAAAGGGCGUUCCCCAAAAGUUCAAUACUCUUAAAGGUUAAAAGUCGUGAUGUCCUUUUCUGCAUUUGACGUCUACCAACAGCUUCCCAGUCCAUUUCCGUCAGUUAGAAUAACGAAAAGAUUUAGUUUUUUUGGCGGCGUGCUCUGGAAAAAUGUCUUGUAUUCCCGGUCCUUUGUCGGGGUUGGUGAAUUUCGCUUCCUCGCGCAAUUGCUUUCGUAUUUUUGCGAGAGAGAUGGUUAGGAGGUCUAUGUGAACUUGCCCUCGUAUUGCUGUCCACUUUGAAAUAAAAGCAAUUAAUUAUUUCGUUAGUUUUUCGUGAUUAAUUAGACUUUAAAAUUUCAGUUUUCCUCUUACUAUGUCGGCAUCGUUCGAGUUUUUGUGGAUCCUGUAGAAAAUUUAACUGAAAUUGCUCCCCUUUAAAACAUGUCCAAUGUGAAAUUAGCUUCCUUUUCAUUAGACAAACUAAUCGGGAUUUUGUAUACCAUAAAUCGUUGGCUUCUAAGUGAUUGAAGGUAUAAUUGAAAGUAUGUAUUGAAGGUACUGUUUCAUUACCUGUCCUAAUUCCCUUGAAUCCUCAGGCUCUGAAUAAUUAAUCUAGAAACGCAGGACAAUAUGCGAUUGAAUUUCGUCAGUGUUCGUAUUAAUCUAAUUGUAAUACCACAAUAGAAACAAUUCUUUUUUUCGAAUCGGAAAUCUUGCAUCCUCCUUAUCUGAGGCGGAUGAAGAUCAAUGUCUUCUCUCUGCAAUCGGCGAGGAAUCAGACUGAAAUAGUGGUCAAUUUGCUUCGAGAUAUUUAGAUGACUGCUAUAAUAUUGUAUUCGGAUAGAAUGUUUUUAAUUUCCGGUCUUAUGUCUGGAUUCUCAGAUACCAUCUUGAUAAGCAGCCGUUUCUGCGUGCAAGAAAAUUUAAUGCCCGAUAAAACAAAGUGUAUCUCUGUGUGUCUGCUUACUUACAAACUUUGUGCCGUAGAUUUCUUCAAAUUUAGGUGGGAGCUGGUAAACUUUCAAGUUGGAAAUGGCUAUCAGUCGCUCGGAAGCGGAACCGAAUGGAAUCAGCAGUUCGAAGAGGAUGAUAGCCAGUGCAUAGACGUCCACCUUGUGGUUAUACGUUUGGCAUUUCUCCUGUUCAGGUGCCAUGUAAGGCUUGGUGCCAACAUAGACCGUGUGAUUCAUCCGAGAAGUACCCGUUCCUGACCGCGUCUGUCCGUAGUCCACAUCGGAGGUUAGUAGAGCCUGUUCCAUUGUCAUUCCUUUGCUUAGUCCGAAAUCGCCAAUUUUAAUUGACCAUUCGGAGUUGAAGAAAAUGUUACUUGGCUUUAAAUCACGAUGAAUUAUAUUCUACAGAAUUAAUACCAAAAGAUGAAAAACCAUUGCAGAAAAGAAAAUAAACUUUUAAUUAGAACCUGAUUGUGGAGAUAAUGCACCGCCUGUAAAAUAGAUUGAAACAUGUUGUUAACGUCCAGUUGAACACGUUGGGAAAUCGGAGUCUUCAGCCAAUCGGCCAGAUUUUCUUUGCGACAAAGCUCCAUCUUGAUAUACAAAUACAGCCAUUCUCUCUGAACCUCGUCAUCCCUUCGCGUGGCGCUGCCAUCGCUUUUUGCUGACAAUGCCAGCUGAUUAGACAGAGAAGAGUCGCUGACAUUUCCCCAACGCUCGUCCUCCAUUUUCAUUCGUUUUUCGUAAUCGAUGCUAAUUUCAGCCUCACUAGAAAAAUCGUCACUUUGGCUAGACCACGACACGUCAACCUGAUCUUGUUUGCUGUUUCUCCGCCAUGACGGUGGAAGAGUCUCCCACCAGCCGCAGUAGUACUGGACUAUAUUGGGAUGAUGCAAUCGUCGCAUUUCCUGACCAAAGUCAGUGAACGAGAUGUAUUAAUACGAUGCUUAAUGAGGCAAAGACGAUCACAGAAUUGAAAUGUAAUUCUUACAGUUAACUCCCUCAUACUGCUGUAUACCAAUUCCACAUCGUCGUCGUUUGAUAGUUUAAUGCAUUUGAUAGCAAAGGUC